This 598-nucleotide ribosomal RNA is filed under the name Salmonella enterica. Its description in RNAcentral is "partial 23S ribosomal RNA". It matches the Rfam family "Bacterial large subunit ribosomal RNA", at positions 657 to 1252 of the family's 2925-position model. The record is from RNAcentral. Lineage: Bacteria; Pseudomonadati; Pseudomonadota; Gammaproteobacteria; Enterobacterales; Enterobacteriaceae.
AUAGGGGAGCCGGAGGGAAACCGAGUCUUAACCGGGCGUUAAGUUGCAGGGUAUAGACCCGAAACCCGGUGAUCUAGCCAUGGGCAGGUUGAAGGUUGGGUAACACUAACUGGAGGACCGAACCGACUAAUGUUGAAAAAUUAGCGGAUGACCUGUGGCUGGGGGUGAAAGGCCAAUCAAACCGGGAGAUAGCUGGUUCUCCCCGAAAGCUAUUUAGGUAGCGCCUCGUGAAUUCAUCUCCGGGGGUAGAGCACUGUUUCGGCUAGGGGGCCAUCCCGGCUUACCAACCCGAUGCAAACUGCGAAUACCGGAGAAUGUUAUCACGGGAGACACACGGCGGGUGCUAACGUCCGUCGUGAAGAGGGAAACAACCCAGACCGCCAGCUAAGGUCCCAAAGUCAUGGUUAAGUGGGAAACGAUGUGGGAAGGCCCAGACAGCCAGGAUGUUGGCUUAGAAGCAGCCAUCAUUUAAAGAAAGCGUAAUAGCUCACUGGUCGAGUCGGCCUGCGCGGAAGAUGUAACGGGGCUAAACCAUGCACCGAAGCUGCGGCAGCGACGCUUAUGCGUUGUUGGGUAGGGGAGCGUUCUGUAAGCCUGU